AGACCCCGUGAACCUUUACUAUAGCUUGACACUGAACAUUGAGCCUUGAUGUGUAGGAUAGGUGGGAGGCUUUGAAGUGUGGACGCCAGUCUGCAUGGAGCCGACCUUGAAAUACCACCCUUUAAUGUUUGAUGUUCUAACGUUGGCCCCUGAUCGGGGUUGCGGACAGUGUCUGGUGGGUAGUUUGACUGGGGCGGUCUCCUCCUAAAGAGUAACGGAGGAGCACGAAGGUUGGCUAAUCCUGGUCGGACAUCAGGAGGUUAGUGCAAUGGCAUAAGCCAGCUUGACUGCGAGCGUGACGGCGCGAGCAGGUGCGAAAGCAGGUCAUAGUGAUCCGGUGGUUCUGAAUGGAAGGGCCAUCGCUCAACGGAUAAAAGGUACUCCGGGGAUAACAGGCUGAUACCGCCCAAGAGUUCAUAUCGACGGCGGUGUUUGGCACCUCGAUGUCGGCUCAUCACAUCCUGGGGCUGAAGUAGGUCCCAAGGGUAUGGCUGUUCGCCAUUUAAAGUGGUACGCGAGCUGGGUUUAGAACGUCGUGAGACAGUUCGGUCCCUAUCUGCCGUGGGCGCUGGAGAACUGAGGGGGGCUGCUCCUAGUACGAGAGGACCGGAGUGGACGCAUCACUGGUGUUCGGGUUGUCAUGCCAAUGGCACUGCCCGGUAGCUAAAUGCGGAAGAGAUAAGUGCUGAAAGCAUCUAAGCACGAAACUUGCC
RNAcentral lists this ribosomal RNA (713 nucleotides) under Escherichia coli. Its description in RNAcentral is "partial 23S ribosomal RNA". It matches the Rfam family "Bacterial large subunit ribosomal RNA", at positions 2086 to 2798 of the family's 2925-position model. Lineage: Bacteria; Pseudomonadati; Pseudomonadota; Gammaproteobacteria; Enterobacterales; Enterobacteriaceae. The record is from RNAcentral.